This 468-nucleotide ribosomal RNA is filed under the name uncultured bacterium. RNAcentral's name for it is "partial 16S ribosomal RNA". It matches the Rfam family "Bacterial small subunit ribosomal RNA", at positions 28 to 507 of the family's 1533-position model. The record is from RNAcentral.
GACGAACGCUGGCGGCGUGCUUAACACAUGCAAGUCGAACGGACAGUCUCUGCUUUUGUGCGGUGCUCGGGUGGCGACCAGGUGGGUAGCAAGAGGGUAACAUCCCCUUGUCUUUUGUGUGACAUCAGGUAACAACGGCUACUAACGCAUAGGAUCUCCUGCUGCAUGGUGGGCGUUGGGGAGUUUGGGCGGUUGGGUGUGGACUCGCGGCUUAUCCGCUUGGUGGUGGGGUGGUGGCUUACCAAGGCUUUGACGGGUAGCCGGCCUGAGAGGGUGACCGGCGACAUGGGGACGGAGAUACGGCCCAGACUCCUACGGGAGGCAGCAGUGGGGAAUGUUACACAAAGGGCGGGAGGCUGAGUCAGCAACGCCGCGUGCGGGAUGACGGCCUUCGGGCGGUAAACCGCAUUGGCCUGUUACGUAGCGGGAGUGACGGUAACGGGUAAAGAAGCACCGGCUAACUACGUG